CAAAACAACAUCUGAUCUUCUCUCUCUCUUCUCUCUCUCUUCUCUCUCUCUAUCAACAGAUCCAAAAUUUCAGACACCUCGCCUUGAAUACCUGAUGUUAUUUCAAAUUUCAAAUCCCUCAACAAAACCACACCUCCGACCUUCUGCUAUCUGCUGGAGAUCAAACAUCACCACCGUCCCCAGUCCUCACCAGCAAGAUCAGAUAGAAAUAGCAUGGCCAAGAAAAAUGUCGAUGGAUUUUUAGGGCUUCGUGUUAAAAUCCCCUGUCGUGUUCUAAGUGCCAGAUUUAGGGUUUCGGUGAGGUUUUGGCCUCCUUGAUUUCGCGUUGCAUUUUACAUCGAUGUUUAGAUCCGUCUCUCGCGAGUUCGUUCCACAAGUUGAAAUUCUGAUGACAAGAUUGGGACAUCUUCAGCGAGAUUAUCGGGAAGACCAAUGUUGUGACCACACCUAGAGUGGUUCGGACCUGCUGGUAAUGGGUUUGUUAGGGUCAGUGCCUUUGAAUUUGCAGGUUUUUGACUUUAAUCGUUUCGACAGAGGUUGCAUGCUAUCUCAUAUUUGUGGUUCUUGACUUUAAUCAUUUUGACUUUAUUUGGUGCAUGUUUUAACUUUCGUUAAUAAUAUCAUCAGGAUGGGGUGUUCAGGAUUGACUGUUUGGAAUUAGAGAACAAAGAGGGCUUUGAUUAAAUUAGAAGACAGUGACUCUAAUGAGACGAUCAAGCAAAUUAUGUCAUUCACAUUGAUAGAAAAGGUAGAAGGGUGCAAUUUUGAGGGAAAUACUUCUUCAAGGCUCAAGCAUCCGUUAACUAAAUACAUUGGGGCCUGAAUUUUCCUUGGUUUCAUAAAAUGUUAGCAUCUAGCACUACUUCAUUAUUUCAGUAUUGAAUAGUGGUGCUAUAUAUGAUGCCAGUAAGUCUCUUGAGUAUAGUUGGUUAAUCUUUAUUGUGGAACUUCCUAUUUACAUUUAUUAGAAAGCGCAUCUGGAAACGUGGAUCUGAUGAAAAACAUGUAAUGCAUAGUCUACUUUCUAAUGUUUAUUAAACCAUACGGUUGCUAGAGACUUCUGAUAAAUCUUGAUAUUAUCAAUGCAGCAAGUAUAUGCACUUCUAGAGAAUACUGGUACCUAUUUGAAUCCUAACAAUGUGGACUGGUUUGGAAUUGAAGUUGCUGACAUCCAAGAAAUGUUGAUUGUUUAGUGGUUAUCGAAUUUUGUUACAAGCAAAUCCUUUUGAUUAUUCUACCACUAAGUUAAUGGUACAAAUUAGCACAAAAUAGCAGUUGAAAUAGUAUUUAAAUGGUCUUUUUUUUGUUUUUUUACAAAAAGGAAACACACAAUUAUUCUCAGUUCUUCUGUGUUUGUUUCUUUAUUUCUUUUAACGUUUCACCCAUGAAAUGGUUCGUGUUAUGAAAGAAUAUUAAAAAUAAUAUAUGUACUUAAGAAUGAUUGUUUAAUUUGAGCGAGUUACUCGAGAUCUUGACCUGGAGUUGUCUCAGACUAAGCCUAUCCCUCGAGUUAUUUCAACCUCAAGUUUUCUAUUAUUUUAUUUUUGUUUCAGGUAUAAAAGAUAGUAGAGGGCCAGUUUGAGUUAUCCAGAAAUAUGUACAAGCCUACGCCUCUGGUUGAAGAGUAAGCAACUUUUGAGACUUUCCUCAUGUGGUGAUUAUCUAAUGAACAUAUCCCAGGUUUGUUUAGAGUCUCAAUAUUGUAAUGUAAGAAACUUGUUUAACCAAGGUUUUAGAUGGCGUGCCUGAGGUGCGAGGCGAUUUGGGUCAAAUCUGGUCAAAGUUAGGGUAUGUAGGAGGGCAAUAUGUAAUAACAAAAAUAUAAAUAUUUCAUUGUUUCAGAAACAGUGUGCCAAAUACGAUUACAAAAAUAUCAUCAUUUCAAUGAUAUUCUAAUUUUAUUAACCAGAGACAGUUACAGUUGCAGGUAAAUCUUUUUUUUGUUUGGUUUUGUUGACUUAAUUCUUUUACUCUUUUUAAUAUGGGUCAAACAUGUAAGUCUAACUUUCGCUGAAAUUACUAAGGAAACGCCUUGGCCCCCUUUAUACUUUCCAGUUUUAUCUCCAAGAAAUAGCAAUUUCUACCGAAAUUUACUAACGAAUUGGGUUGGGUUUUUUUUAAACAGGGCAUCUUUGAGCAUCAUAUUAUGGAAACUGUUACAGCUGCAGGUAAAUCUUUUUUUUUUUGUUUGGUAUUGUUGACUUAAUUCUUUUACUCUUUUUUAAUAUGGGUCAACCAGGUAAGUCUAAAUUUCGCCGAAAUUACCAAGGAAACGACUUGGCCCCCUUUAUACUUUCCAGUUUUAAAGGCAAGAGAAGUGUUCUAAAGGUAAAACACUGCACGGAUGCUAUGAUUCUGGAAACAUCAAAUAAGUUUCUUACUGGGUGGAUCGUUAGGAGGGAUAUGGUUGGGUUGAAUAUGGAGUCAUAGUGCAGCUAUGUUAGUCUGAUGUAUAAUUAGUUUAUUUUUUAAUUCGGAGAUAUUUUGUGAGUGGCUUGCUAAGUUCUGUUUUGGUGUUUAUAUAUUUCUUUCUUUGGCUGGGCAAAAACAUGGAUGAAGGAAAGUCGAAGUCAUCACUGUAACCUUUUUUCCAUUCCCAUGUAUUGAUGACAUGAAUAUUUUAUUAAGAAGGAAGAACUUUUUUUAUAA
Helianthus annuus (common sunflower) is the source of this 2649-nucleotide long non-coding RNA. RefSeq lists it as uncharacterized. The record is from RefSeq and is a predicted model, not a curated record. The transcript is spliced from 7 exons. NCBI's taxonomy places the organism in Eukaryota, Viridiplantae, Streptophyta, Magnoliopsida, Asterales, Asteraceae.